GAUGAACGCUGGCGGCGUGCUUAACACAUGCAAGUCGAACGGAAAGGCCCUGCUUGCUGGGUACUCGAGUGGCGAACGGGUGAGUAACACGUGGGUGAUUUGCCCUGCACUUCGGGAUAAGCCUGGGAAACUGGGCCUAAUACCGGAUAGGAGCCAUUUUGAGUGUGAUGGUUGGAAAGUUUUUUCGGUGUAGGAUGAGCUGGCGGCCUAUCAGCUUGUUGGUGGGGUAAUGGCCUACCAAGGCGGCGACGGGUAGCCGGCCUGAGAGGGUGAACGGCCACCUUGGGACUGAGGUGCGGCCCCAGCUGCUACGAGUGGCAGAUGUGCGGAAUCUUGCACAAGCGGCGCAGGGUUGGUGAAGAAAGGCUGCGUGGGGGAUGACGGCCUUCGGGUUGUAGAAUCCUUUCGCUAGGAACGAAGCUUUUUGUGACGGUACCUAGAGAAGAAGCACCGGCUAACUACGUG
This 465-nucleotide ribosomal RNA is filed under the name uncultured bacterium. Its description in RNAcentral is "partial 16S ribosomal RNA". It matches the Rfam family "Bacterial small subunit ribosomal RNA", at positions 28 to 507 of the family's 1533-position model. The record is from RNAcentral.